This 598-nucleotide long non-coding RNA is filed under the name Vigna radiata. Its description in RNAcentral is "long non-coding RNA (VRAD_LNC010604)". Lineage: Eukaryota; Viridiplantae; Streptophyta; Magnoliopsida; Fabales; Fabaceae. The record is from RNAcentral.
UUCAAAGUGCAAACAUACAUCGUUGAAAAAUAAUGACGAACCGUCAACUGCUCAACCAAAAACAAAACAAAUGUAAACACAAAAGGAAAUAACAAAAAAACCCAAAAACUAAGAACCGAAUACCCAAACCAAAAACCAAAUACCCUAACCACAACAUCAACGAAAACCGACAACAAGAAUGCAACAACGCAAGAACCCAAGAACCCAAACCCAAAACCAUAUCAGACCCAACAACGCAUUUACCUUGCUCCAACGAAGCUUUUGUUCGUGACUUCCCAUCUCCACCAAUCAUCUAGAAUGGAGAACCACUAACCAACCGUCAAACAGAGGAAGCAGGGGGAGAACAACGUAGGGGACAACAAAAUGUGAGAGAGAGAACGAAAUCUGAGACAAAAAUAAGUAAAGGGUAUAUUUGGAAAGGAAAACUCUUUUCGUUUUGGUGCCCAGAUUUUUGAAAAAAAAAAAAUAACCCAACCAAUGGCAACUUGACACGUUUGUGUGUCAAAAGUGUGUCAAAAAAGUUGUGUUAAAAUAACGGAAUCCUUUUAUAAAUAACGACAGUUAAAUUCCACCUCAUAAAAAAAAUCUAUAUCACAAU